Long non-coding RNA from Cervus elaphus (red deer), 289 nucleotides. RefSeq lists it as uncharacterized. The record is from RefSeq and is a predicted model, not a curated record. The transcript is spliced from 3 exons. NCBI's taxonomy places the organism in Eukaryota, Metazoa, Chordata, Mammalia, Artiodactyla, Cervidae.
CCCUACAAAUCCCAGGCCGGCCACCAGCGCUCCUCCACCUCAUCGCAGAGGAAUGUGCUGCUAUGCCACAAGUUGGUGUGAAGAAUGCAGAGUUUCCUACUACUUUAGAAGAUCCCAAAUGACACUGCUCACAUUACUGCCUGAGCGCUGCCUCCUGUCAGAUCAGCGGUGCCCUACUGAUUCUACAUUAUGGCACCAGGAAGCUGGAUCAUCCACUUGAUAAGAUCUUUCAUUCCUGUUAUUUCAUGACUGACAAAGCACCAGACACACAGCUGAUAUUGGAUGAAAG